This is a non-coding RNA of Asterophora parasitica, 95 nucleotides long. The record is from the annotation of a GenBank genome assembly. Lineage: Eukaryota; Fungi; Basidiomycota; Agaricomycetes; Agaricales; Lyophyllaceae.
GGCCUUAUGGUCUAGUAGCAUGAUUCCUCGUUUGGGCUUUGCCGCCAGGCAAAAACAAUUCGAGGAGGUCCUGGGUUCAACUCCCAGUGAGGCCC